GAAAUGCGAUAAGUAGUGUGAAUUGCAGAAUUCAGUGAAUCAUCGAAUCUUUGAACGCACAUUGCGCCCCUUGGUAUUCCAUGGGGCAUGCCUGUUCGAGCGUCAUUUGUACCCUCAAGCUCUGCUUGGUGUUGGGUGUUUGUCCCCGUCUCCGCGCGUGGACUCGCCCCAAAGUGAUUGGCAGCCGGCGUACUGGUCCCGGAGCGCAGCACAUGUCGCGCAAACGAGUGCCUUGGUACGGCGGCGUCCAUAAGCCCCUCUCUCACGCUCUUCACCUCGGAUCAGGUAGGGAUACCCGCUGAACUUAAGC
Molecule: unclassified non-coding RNA, 310 nt
Filed under: plant metagenome
Description: partial contains 5.8S ribosomal RNA, internal transcribed spacer 2, and large subunit ribosomal RNA
Rfam family: 5.8S ribosomal RNA (bases 1-105)
Source: RNAcentral